AUGUGUGCUUGUGUCCGGUUCACAGCCGUAGCAUGUGUGGUGCUCGCGUGCACACGACAGCCACAUGAUGAGUUAACAGAAGCCAAGCUAGAAGCAGAAUGCAAUACCUUCAUACGAGUGUGCACGCAAGACAGACAUAGAGAAGUUCAGGCAAUGCAAUGGUGCAGCCACGGCAGCAUCGAUGACAAUGGUGUGGCGUUCCUGGUGCUCUCUCCCUCUACUGACUUGCUUGUUAUGAUGCCACCGCUUCUGCAUGCUUGUACUAAGACGACUACCCAUCUGUCUUCACAAGUGAUUCUUGUUUGUCAAUUUGGAGGAACGUGCAACUUUGAAAAUCUAACUCUGCAUCGUCCUUGUUUUUGUUCUUCAGAAGUUCAGGUAACUAGGUUGCUGACUAUGUAA
RNAcentral lists this ribosomal RNA (402 nucleotides) under Triticum aestivum (bread wheat). RNAcentral's name for it is "partial small subunit ribosomal RNA". The record is from RNAcentral. Lineage: Eukaryota; Viridiplantae; Streptophyta; Magnoliopsida; Poales; Poaceae.